RNAcentral lists this ribosomal RNA (468 nucleotides) under uncultured bacterium. RNAcentral describes it as "bacterial SSU rRNA". It matches the Rfam family "Bacterial small subunit ribosomal RNA", at positions 29 to 480 of the family's 1533-position model. The record is from RNAcentral.
AUUGAACGCUGGCGGCAUGCCUUACACAUGCAAGUCGAACGGUAACGCGGGGCAACCUGGCGACGAGUGGCGAACGGGUGAGUAAUGCAUCGGAACGUGCCCAGUAGUGGGGGAGUAGCCCGGCCGAAAGCCGGAUUAAUACCGCAUACGACCUACGGGUGAAAGCGGGGGACGUCGCAAGAGCCUCGCGCUAUUGGAGCGGCCGAUGUCAGAUUAGGUAGUUGGUGGGGUAAAAGCCUACCAAGCCGACGAUCUGUAGCUGGUCUGAGAGGACGACCAGCCACACUGGGACUGAGACACGGCCCAGACUCCUACGGGAGGCAGCAGUGGGGGAAUUUUGGACAAUGGGGGGCAACCCUGAUCCAGCCAUUCCGCGUGAGUGAAGAAGGCCUUCGGGUUGGUUAAAGGACUCUUUCUAGCAGGAACGAAACGGUGGGCCACUAAUACUGGCUACUAAUGACGGUACCU